Molecule: unclassified non-coding RNA, 875 nt
Filed under: Porphyromonas macacae
Lineage: Bacteria; Pseudomonadati; Bacteroidota; Bacteroidia; Bacteroidales; Porphyromonadaceae
Description: partial 16S-23S ribosomal RNA intergenic spacer region
Rfam family: tRNA (bases 445-521)
Source: RNAcentral
CGCGAGGGGCGUGUCAGGGUAAUACCGGUGACUGGGGCUAAGUCGUAACAAGGUAGCCGUACCGGAAGGUGCAGGCUGGAACACCUCCUUUCUGGAGCGUUUCCAAGAAUUUACUGUUUGUUUUCGGUGUUAUUCUUUUUGCUGUUUUUUGCUGAAAGUUUUUCAGUCUGAGCAUUGAGAGCAUGAAGAGAGGGCAUCGCAGGGUCUUAUUGCAGACGAGUAUUUACGGGGAAAAGAUUUUUUACCGUGCUUUCACUUUUCGUUCGAUAUGAACUAUAAUAUAUAAUAAAGGGAAUUCGAGGAGCUUGAAGAGCGUAUUCUUUCGAUUACCGUGGAGAAGUCAGAUGGGAUGAGGGUCUGUAUUAUUGAGGCCGGAGCCUGUUCUGUUCUGUCUUUGGAUGUCGGUCUCGAUUGGAGGUGUUUUUGGCAAGGCGAGCGAGACGCAGUCCUAUAGCUCAGUUGGUUAGAGCGCUACACUGAUAAUGUAGAGGCGGUCGGCAGUUCAACUCUGCCUGGGACUACACUCGAAGCUUGUCCCCCUCGCAGUCGGAAUGUUUUGAAAGUGAAUCGUUCCGCGGAAGACGAAAUGGUUUGUACGUUUGUGUUUUCUGUCUCAUCGAGACCUUCCCGGGGGAUUAGCUCAGCUGGCUAGAGCACCUGCUUUGCAAGCAGGGGGCAACGGUUCGAAUCCUGUUAUUCUCCACUGAACGCCCCUUGGGUCUUGUUUUUUUUAAGACGUUGAGGGGGUAAAGCGAUCUUUGACAUACUGAACGAGUUAAAACGAAAACGUAGAGCUAAAAAAUAAAAAGCCAAAGUAUAUGAAAGGUCUGUUUCAUUUGUAUGUUACAGACCCGGCGAAAUAAUAAGAAAAGGGC